Etheostoma cragini (Arkansas darter) is the source of this 67-nucleotide long non-coding RNA. RefSeq lists it as uncharacterized. The record is from RefSeq and is a predicted model, not a curated record. Lineage: Eukaryota; Metazoa; Chordata; Actinopteri; Perciformes; Percidae. The transcript has 3 exons.
CUUGACCAUGCGUCAGACAUUUGACGAGUAGGAAGUGAGACUUUGUUGCCCGUGCUAACACACACAC